Colius striatus (speckled mousebird) is the source of this 151-nucleotide small nucleolar RNA. It matches the Rfam family "Small nucleolar RNA SNORD97". The record is from Rfam. Lineage: Eukaryota; Metazoa; Chordata; Aves; Coliiformes; Coliidae.
UUGCCCAAUGAUUAUAGCAAGACGCGUUAUUAUGAGGACUAAUGCUGGAACUCUUUCUCCUCCUUCUUUGUCCCUUCCUCUUUUACCUUCCCCCCCUCACUUUCCUUAGGGUAUCCAGCGUCCUAUGAGCAAGACUGAGAUAUGAGGGCAA